RNAcentral lists this ribosomal RNA (470 nucleotides) under uncultured Alphaproteobacteria bacterium. RNAcentral's name for it is "bacterial SSU rRNA". It matches the Rfam family "Bacterial small subunit ribosomal RNA", at positions 9 to 524 of the family's 1533-position model. The record is from RNAcentral. Lineage: Bacteria; Pseudomonadati; Pseudomonadota; Alphaproteobacteria.
GAGUUUGAUCUUGGCUCAGAACGAACGCUGGCGGCAGGCCUAACACAUGCAAGUUGAACGAUGUAGCAAUACAGAGUAGCGCACGGGUGCGUAACGCGUGGGAAUAUGCCCUUCACUACGGAACAACGUUUGGAAACGAACGCUAAUACCGUAUAAUGACUUCGGUCCAAAGAUUUAUCGGUGAAGGAUUAGCCCGCGUCUGAUUAGCUAGUUGGUGAGGUAACGGCUCACCAAGGCGACGAUCAGUAGCUGGUCUGAGAGGAUGAUCAGCCACACUGGGACUGAGACACGGCCCAGACUCCUACGGGAGGCAGCAGUGAGGAAUAUUGGACAAUGGGCGCAAGCCUGAUCCAGCCAUGCCGCGUGAGUGAUGAAGGCCUUAGGGUUGUAAAGCUCUUUUAGCGGAGACGAUAAUGACGGUAUCCGCAGAAAAAAGCCCCGGCCAACUUCGUGCCAGCAGCCGCCGCUGU